Molecule: ribosomal RNA, 1189 nt
Filed under: metagenome
Description: SSU rRNA
Rfam family: Eukaryotic small subunit ribosomal RNA
Source: RNAcentral
UCUGGUGCCAGCAGCCGCGGUAAUUCCAGCUCCUAUAGCGUAUAUUAAAGUUGUUGCAGUUAAAAAGCUCGUAGUUGAACCUUGGGCCUGGCUGGCCGGUCCGCCUCACCGCGUGCACUGGUCCGGCCGGGCCUUUCCUUCUGGGGAGCCGCAUGGCCUUCACUGGCCGUGUCGGGGAUCCAGGACUUUUACUUUGAAAAAAUUAGAGUGUUCAAAGCAGGCCUUUGCUCGGAUACAUUAGCAUGGAAUAAUAGAAUAGGACGCGCGGUUCUAUUCUGUUGGUUUCUAGGACCGCCGUAAUGAUUAAUAGGGAUAGUCGGGGGCAUCUGUAUUCAAUUGUCAGAGGUGAAAUUCUUGGAUUUAUUGAAGACAACUACUGCGAAAGCAUUUGCCAAGGAUGUUUUCAUUAAUCAGUGAACGAAAGUUAGGGGAUCGAAGACGAUCAGAUACCGUCGUAGUCUUAACCAUAAACUAUGCCGACUAGGGAUCGGAGGGUGUUAUUUAUUUGACCCCUUCGGCACCUUACGAGAAAUCAAAGUUUUUGGGUUCUGGGGGGAGUAUGGUCGCAAGGCUGAAACUUAAAGAAAUUGACGGAAGGGCACCACCAGGCGUGGAGCCUGCGGCUUAAUUUGACACAACACGGGGAAACUCACCAGGUCCAGACACAAGGAGGAUUGACAGAUUGAGAGCUCUUUCUUGAUUUUGUGGGUGGUGGUGCAUGGCCGUUCUUAGUUGGUGGAGUGAUUUGUCUGCUUAAUUGCGAUAACGAACGAGACCUUAACCUGCAAUAGCCAGGCCCGCUUCGGCGGGUCGCCGGCUUCUUAGAGGGACUAUCGGCUCAAGCCGAUGGAAGUUUGAGGCAAUAACAGGUCUGUGAUGCCCUUAGAUGUUCUGGGCCGCACGCGCGCUACACUGACAGGGCCAACGAGUUCAUCACCUUGGCCGGAAGGUCUGGGUAAUCUUGUUAAACCCUGUCGUGCUGGGGAUAGGGCAUUGCAAUUAUUGCCCUUCAACGAGGAAUGCCUAGUAAGCGCGUGUCAUCAGCACGCGUUGAUUACGUCCCUGCCCUUUGUACACACCGCCCGUCGCUACUACCGAUUGAAUGGCUCAGUGAGGCCUCCGGACGGACUCAGGGAGGUCGGCAACGACCACCCAGAGUCGGGAAGUUGGUCAAACUCAGUCAUUUAGA